This 263-nucleotide ribosomal RNA is filed under the name uncultured archaeon. RNAcentral's name for it is "partial 16S ribosomal RNA". It matches the Rfam family "Archaeal small subunit ribosomal RNA", at positions 748 to 1009 of the family's 1478-position model. The record is from RNAcentral.
CAGCCGUAAACUAUGCGCGUUAGGUGUAUUGGUGACCACGAGUUACCGAGGUGCCGAAGGGAAACCGUGAAACGUGCCGCCUGGGAAGUACGGUCGCAAGGCUGAAACUUAAAGGAAUUGGCGGGGGAGCACCACAACGGGUGGAGCCUUUGCGGUUUAAUUGGACUCAACGCCGGACAACUCACCGGGGACGACAGCAAUAUGUAGGCCAGGCUGAAGACCUUGCCUGAAUCGCUGAGAGGAGGUGCAUGGCGUAGACGUCU